Molecule: ribosomal RNA, 258 nt
Filed under: uncultured bacterium
Lineage: Bacteria
Description: partial 16S ribosomal RNA
Rfam family: Bacterial small subunit ribosomal RNA
Source: RNAcentral
CACGUAGGGGGCAAGCGUUGUCCGGAUUUAUUGGGCGUAAAGAGCUCGUAGGCGGCUCAGUAAGUCAGGUGUGAAACCUCCAGGCUCAACCUGGAGACGCCACCUGAUACUGCUGUGGCUAGAGUCCGGUAGGGGAGCGUGGAAUUCCUGGUGUAGCGGUGAAAUGCGCAGAUAUCAGGGAGGAACACCAGCGGCGGAAGGCGGCGCUCUGGGCCGGAACUGACGCUGGAGGAGCGAAAGCCGUGGGUAGCAAACAGG